RNAcentral lists this microRNA (23 nucleotides) under Strongyloides ratti. RNAcentral describes it as "str-miR-8394-5p". The record is from miRBase by way of RNAcentral. Lineage: Eukaryota; Metazoa; Nematoda; Chromadorea; Rhabditida; Strongyloididae.
AAGGUGUGGUCGUCGCCAUUAUA